RNAcentral lists this ribosomal RNA (253 nucleotides) under uncultured Bacteroidales bacterium. RNAcentral's name for it is "partial 16S ribosomal RNA". It matches the Rfam family "Bacterial small subunit ribosomal RNA", at positions 524 to 776 of the family's 1533-position model. Lineage: Bacteria; Pseudomonadati; Bacteroidota; Bacteroidia; Bacteroidales. The record is from RNAcentral.
UACGGAAGGUCCGGGCGUUAUCCGGAUUUAUUGGGUUUAAAGGGAGCGUAGGCCGGCUUUUAAGUCAGCUGUGAAAGUCCGCGGCUCAACCGUGGAAUUGCAGUUGAAACUGGAGGCCUUGAGAUGUCGAGAGGUAUGCGGAAUGCGCAGUGUAGCGGUGAAAUGCUUAGAUAUUGCGCAGAACUCCGAUUGCGAAGGCAGCAUACCGGCGGCGAUCUGACGCUGAGGCACGAAAGCGUGGGUAUCGAACAGG